This 471-nucleotide unclassified non-coding RNA is filed under the name Hevea brasiliensis (rubber tree). The record is from RNAcentral. Lineage: Eukaryota; Viridiplantae; Streptophyta; Magnoliopsida; Malpighiales; Euphorbiaceae.
AUCUGAUCGUCGGACAUGGCGUCGCCCAUGCUCUCCGCCGCCACCGUGCCACUCCAGGGAGGCGGCUUGUCGGAGUUCUCCGGCCUGAGGAGCUCGUCGUCGCUGCCGCUGCGGCGGAAUGCCACCUCCGACGACUUCAUGAACGCGGUCUCCUUCAGGACCCACGCGGUUGGCACGAGCGGCGGGGCGCGGCGGGCGCCGACGGAGGCGAAGCUGAAGGUGGCGAUCAACGGGUUCGGCCGCAUCGGGCGCAACUUCCUGCGGUGCUGGCACGGGCGCGGCGACAGCUCGCCCCUCGACGUCAUCGCCAUCAACGACACCGGAGGCGUGAAGCAGGCGUCGCACCUCCUCAAGUACGACUCCACGCUCGGCAUCUUCGACGCCGACGUCAAGCCCGUGGGCGACAACGCCAUCUCCGUCGACGGCAAGGUGAUCAAGGUCGUCUCCGACCGCAACCCGUCCAACCUGCCG